Molecule: non-coding RNA, 82 nt
Organism: Trichophaea hybrida
Lineage: Eukaryota; Fungi; Ascomycota; Pezizomycetes; Pezizales; Pyronemataceae
Source: the annotation of a GenBank genome assembly
GUCGAUAUAGUAUAGUGGUUAGUACGGCUCGUUGUGGCUCGCCAAAUCCGAGCAGACCCAUGUUCGAUUCAUGGUAUCGACA